Molecule: ribosomal RNA, 243 nt
Filed under: uncultured bacterium
Lineage: Bacteria
Description: partial 16S ribosomal RNA
Rfam family: Bacterial small subunit ribosomal RNA
Source: RNAcentral
GUCCACGCCCUAAACGAUGUCAACUAGCCGUAGGGUUCAUUAUAGGACUUUGUGGCGCAGCUAACGCGAUAAGUUGACCGCCUGGGGAGUACGGCCGCAAGGUUAAAACUCAAAGGAAUUGACGGGGGCCCGCACAAGCGGUGGAGCAUGUGGUUUAAUUCGAUGCAACGCGAAGAACCUUACCAGGCCUUGACAUCUAGCGAACUUUCCAGAGAUGGAUUGGUGCCUUCGGGAACGCUAAGA